AAACAUCGUUGUGGUGGCGGCCGCGGUGAUAGUUAUUAUUUUUGUUGUGGAAUUUAAUGGCGGCGGGGCUGUUGCUGCAGCUGAACUCGUAGUCGUGGGGAGAGACGAAGGAGGCAGUCGAGUGGUGGCGGAGAGCUAGAGUGUUGGCUAUGGCUUUGAUGGCGGCGAGUUUGCUACGUUUUAACAAGAGAUUUAAUUCUGCUACCAUUUUGCUUUUGGCAAUGUUUUUUGUAAACAUGAAGAAAAUUAUACGUAGUGUGUUCCAUACUUUCUUUGUAACUACCAUUGUUUGGUUUGUUUCAAUUUCCAUUGUUGUAACGGUUUGAUAAGUUUGUGAGUGUUUUUGUUUUGUUGAGAGAGAGAAUGAGAAUGUGUGAACGUGUGUAAUUGGAUUGUGAUAUGGUUUGUGUUUGUGAUAGGAGAGUUGGAGUUAGGUGGUAUAUAAAGGGGUUCCAAUUACAAAUUAUAAUUAUCCACUAAGAAAUUAGAUUAUGAUAAAUUUAUAAUUAAUCGUUUCUAAAAAGAUAACAACACUACCUGUCAAAAAAAGAAACAAAAGAUAACAACACUAACUUAAAAGUUCAACUUUUCCAAUGUAUGAGCAUUGACUGCUAUGGCUAUACAAAUUCAGUUAUAUUGUGGUUGCCAAAUUAUAACUGUUCAAAAUUGUACAAAGGAAUGGCACAGUGCUUUUUACCUUGUUAGAAAAAUAGUACACUCUUUUUUCUUCAUGAGCUAAAAAACAAAAGUUAUUUACAUAGAUAACCUUAUCUUUUUUACUCAUUCAAGAUUUCUUCAUUUUUGCAUUUCUAAAAUAUGGAUGCAUACAUAUAUUAUGAGAAAGAGAGAUUAGUUAUAAGAAAUAUAUGAAGAAGAAAUGUAUGUUAUAUUAAUAUCGUGAUGUUAAUCCAUUACUUUGUGUCUAGGAUGAAAACUUGAGCAAUUUGAACCGCACCUUUUAUUCUCUUUAGGGUUUGCCUGGUUUUUGGUUGUAUUACUGAGCUUUUGUUCUGGGUAUCCAUAUGCAACUAAGUUUUUAUUCCCCGGUCCUUCUUUGACACAACUUGUGCUUGAGCGACUAGGAUUCUGGUGAAUUUAUUCUAUUAUAGUUUCUUCAAAAGAAAAAAAUUGAACCACGGCUACGUGUUUCUUAUAGUGGUCUAAAUGGCUAUAUGUGGGCUUAAUAUUAGAUAUGUCUAAAGCUUAUGGUAUGAUGAUUCAUUGAGUGGUCUUUUUUUAAGGCAGUUUUGAAUAGCAUCAAUUUUCAUCAACGCCUGAUUUCCUUGAUAAUGAAUUGUGUUUCUAAUGUGUCCUUUUCUGUUUUGUUGAAUAGUGGUCUUUGUCUACCAUUUGUGUCCAUUGUGUGCUGAAGUUUUUUGAGAUUUUUUUUUCUUCUUCUAGAGCUAUUGAAAGGAACACUCUCCAUGAAAUCCAUAUUGCAAGAGGAGUAUUUGUAUAUUCUCAUUUAUGAUUUACCUUCUCAGUGUACUAUUUGAUAUUUAAUGAAAUGGCUUAAGCUUUCCUUUGCUAAAAAAAAGAAAGAAAAAAAAAGAUCAGGCUAGACCACAACUGAUGUAUCCUUUUCAAUAUCUAAGGCGAUCAAGACUAGGUUGUGAAAUAAGAUGGGAGGUAAGUUAGUAAAUGAAAGCAUUAUAUUACUAUUUUAAAUUUUUAAGAUAUGUAAUUUAAUUUUUUUUUAUAUCAACUUUGUGUUUAAUGUUAUUACAACAUAAGUUUGACGUUUUGAAAUUCUAGCGCACUUGUUUUAAUAUGUUCUGUAUGAUGUUACGGUGUUUGCAAUGUUACGAUUAAUGUUUUAACAUCACACGAUAAACAGAAAUAAAAACAAGAAAAUAAAUGAUAGGAAAGUAAAUAACACAAUGAGUUUGUUGACCUAGUUCGGUGACAAACACACCUACUCUGGGGGCUACUAAGCCAGGAAGGAAAUCCACUAGUGUAGUCCUUAUUCAAUAGCUCUCAGCAAACUCCUCGUUUACACUAUAUGACAUAGGACCUACCCGUAUAGACUUCAACCAAGGAACUCCUAGAUCUGAGAUCUCAUCUCACUAUCCUAAUGAUCAGUCAAAGCCCCUAUGACCUAUCAGACCUAAACCAAAACAAAGUAGAAGUUACAUUCCAACACAAACAACUAGCACCUUGUUUCACAACUUCGGUGUAGUACAAAGGAGUAUCAAUACUCACACACAAUCCUAACAAGUAUCACAAACGAUACAAGAAAGAACACACGAUAUAUUCUAAACUUGCAUCACAAGCGAUACAAGAGCAUAAUACAUGAAGACUCAAACCCUAAAAAUCUAAACUUUUAGAAUGAUGGCUUGAAUAAACAAUUAGGUCUUGAAGUCUUCCUUAUAUACUGAAGCAGCUUGGGCUAAAUAAUUUGUUGGGCUUCAGCAAAAUGCAGAUCGGUUCAGCUUAAUCUGCAAAACAAUAAUCAGAAACAAAUCUGGAAAGUCCUAAAAUGUCGGAACAUUAUAGGAUCGUUCCAAACAAUAAUAAAUAUUUCCUAAAAUAUAAAAUACACUUUAGAAAUAUUCCACAACUGAUUCUUAGAAGUUAUGCGCGUUACUUGAUCAAUAAGAUAAGGAAAUAUUGUUUCCUUAAACAAUAAAGGGUGCGCGUAAAAACAGGCGAGAACUCAGGCACACUGAACCGUGCCAGGAUGUUGGAGCAUCAUAUCCAACAUCUUCCAAAGACGCCUAAACACAUGUUGAAACAUUGGUUCCAACUUACAUCAAGGAUAUUUGUUUUAGCAACAAUGCAGCCAAUACAAAUACCCAACACAUUUAUAUAUAUAUAUAUAUAUAUAUAUAUAUAUAUAUAUUAACAAUAAAAAAUGAGAUAUAUUACCACAAGGAUUAACAGUCCUACUCUCUAGUUCAAGGUGUGCAAAGGAGAGCAGAACAAAAGUCUACAAAGAAUCCUGAAUAAUUACAGACAAAAAAGAGUCAACCAAUGCCCAAACAGACAAGACGUUGCUGCCACCACAUAUGGUAACCAAAAGGAAGACACGCAUUUGUAGCGUCCAGCCAAUGUAAAGUAGUAAUUUGGACUUUUUCCAAAAGUUGCAUAAUAGAUUUAGCUUUAUUAGAGAACAAUAUGUGAUUCCUUUCAUUCCAUAGCACACAAACGCUGCAAAAACGACCGACGGAGUUUAAAGCUUCCUGUGGAAUAAGCAAACUGAGAAAAAUGAUCCAAAAUAUGUUGGGAAUACACUGAAUGAAAACCAAUCCAAAUUUUGACUUGUUGCUAAAGCACACUGAAAAUAGGACAAUGAAUUAAGAGAUGAUAUGCGUUUCAUUAUAACCACAUCCGGACUCACAUUGUUGAGCAUCAACUGGGAUGUUACCUCUCCGCACCAAAUUGUCUUUUGUAGGCCACCUGUUGCGGAGAAGACGCCACACACAAAUAAUUUUAAUGGUCGACCCGUAUAUAUUUUUUCUUUUAAAUUUCUAGCUUCGUCAUUGGUGUUUUUAUUAGAGAUCAAUUAAUGUAUUAAAGCUCUUCUAAACUUGAUUUAAGGCUAACGAUUCGGGCUGUUUUAGAUAUACGAGGGUGAUGUUUGAAGGUGAUUUGUUUAUUCUUUGAAGGAAAUUUUGGAUACAUGCUAGAUAUUAUAUAAAGGCAAAUGUUAACAUAUGCCCUAAAGGCACAUGCUAAGAAAUUUGAAAUAGAAAAUUACAUUUUAGUAAAUCCAAACAAUCAAUUCUUUGUUAUUAAAUUAUUAUUUCGAGCUCCCUAUGGGACAUUCAUGUACCUGAAUUCAGCGCAUUUGGUUGAAGAAAUACGAACAAAAACUUGUGUGUAUUUUGUUAGCAACUUUAUAUUAAAAGAAUACAUGAAGAAAAGUGGCAAUUUAACAAAAGAAAAAGGAAAAAAGCAAAACACAAGCUAGUGGAUAAAAUUACUCUAAUAAAAAGUUGGUGAGGAAUUGAGAUAUGGUUGUGCUCUAUAAUUGACGGAAAUCACUAUAAGUGAGUCUUUUCUUCCUCUCAAUGUUUUCUUUGAUUUAUAAUAAACUAGUAGUUGAUACUUAUUGCACGUAACCAACGUGUAACGUACAUAUACAAUUACUUAACAAACUCAUCACUUUGAACUAUUGUUGAUAUUUUUAACUUUUUAAUUCUUGCAGUUAAUUUUGAUAUAUACUUACCAUUUUUCAACACAUGGCAUACAAAUUAUAUGGACGUCAAUCAUUAUUGACAUAAGACACCUAGUCACAUCAAUAUCAUUUUUUUAACAUCAAUCACAUUCCAAUUGACGUUGAUAUCUAAACUUGUCUCAACGUAACAACCUAUAAAUAUAGGUGGCAUUUCACAUGGGAAAGGUUAAUCAUUUCCCACCAUGGGAAAGUUGGAUUCAAUGAUUAAAUUAAGUGAAGAACAUAUUCUUAAUAUGCUCUCUCAACACUAGAUUUUUCUUCACACUAUCUUCCAACAAUUUAAAAAUUUCAAAAAUUAAUUUUCAAAAAUUAAAAAAAUCGAAAAAAAUUCAGAUAAUUUUUUUUUUUAAAUUCUGUAAUUCAUUUAUUGAAUGUUAGAAUUUUUUUUUUUGAAAAAUUGAAAAAAAAAUUCCAGAAUUUUAUUUUCUUAGAAAAAUAAAAAAAAAAUUAAUUUCAAAAUAUUUUUUUAGGAUUUUUAUUUUAUUUUUCAGAAUAUCUUAUUUUAUUAUGAAAUUAAAAAAUACAUUCUUUUUAAAAAAAUAAAAACUUAUCUUAGUUUCCAAAAUUUUAUUUUUAUUGAAAUAAAAAAAAAAUAAUCUAACAUUCAAUAAAUGAAUUACAGAAUUUUAAAAAAAAAUUAUCUGAAUUUUUUUUAUAUUUUUUCGAUUUUUUAAUUUCUGAAAAUUAAUUUUCAAAAUUUUUAAAUUGUUGGAAGAUAGUGUGAAGAAAAAUCUAGUGUUGAGAAACAUGUUAAAAAUAUAUUCUUCACUUAAUCUAAUCAUUGAAUCCAACUUUUCUAUGGUGGGAAAUGAUUAACAUUUCCAAUGUGAACACACACCAUAAAUAUAAUAAAUCUAUUUUGUUCUAGUUUUCUUUAUUUGUUUUUAAUAACUCUCCGACUUCUGUUUUAUGUAAUUAUUUUUUUAAUGAUCCCACAUUUUUCUUAGACAAAUAUAAUCCCUCUUCUUUUUUACCAACACAUACAAUAUCACAUUGCUUAUUGAUAGAAACGAGAUAAAGUCUUAAUUAAUAAAAAAGAACUAACUAAUUUAAUAUAUUUUACUAGAUUAGUUGAUAAGUCAGGUAUUCCCGGCCACAAGCAAAAACGGUAGUUUCUUGGUCAUGACCAGCUAAAGCUAAAGUUCUAUUAAAGAGCGUUUCCACGUGGUAGAACCUCAUCAGGGAGUAUAAAGCUUUCAUGAGGUUGAUCUUGAGCCGCCUUCCACGCACGAAUACCUUCAUUUAGGAAAGUAUUUUUGGUGUAGAAAGUCUCAAAUUCAGGAUCUUACACUGCAAGGGUUUCUUAAGAAAUGAAGUCGUAGACACAUAAGUUCAGGGCUAGACUGGCUACUCCAAGAGAAUUCAUCCAUAAACCAAUUACUUAGUUACUGGUAAAAAUAACAUAGAGAAAUGUAACUGACAUUUACUGGAAAAAGGAACCCCAGAUUUUUGUGACCAAAAGUGGUUAGCGGUGAUCAUUGAACAAGUUUUUUCCACUUGAGUUGGGUUAAAAGCACAGAAUGUAUUUGCGCCACCAUCAUCUUCAAAUAAUGUAUUUUCUACUAACACUGUGAAUAGUCAAGAUUGUUACAUUAUCUGGACAUAAUUAAAAGAUGUUUUUAUAUAACUCUGUAAAAGGGUAAUGACUACUCAAUGAUAUAAACACACAUUAAAUUAAACAAGUACUUGUAUAUUUUGGAGAAUAAAUGUGAAGACAUAAGACUUCUCAUAAGGGACAGUUAUUUAGUGUGACAAUAUUUAGAGGUAGUAGUUGAUUGGUUUGUCGAUUUCUUAUAUAAAAAAGAAAUAUAGAAAGCAGUGGAAGUAGCAGUAGUGGAACUAUUUUCUAAACAACGAAAAAGACAAGUUGAUUUGGUUUAUCGAAUAGGAAAACUUGGAAUUGUUGCUUCAAUUAGUAAAGAAUGGGAUAAAAGGGACUUUAUAAACUUUAAUGUUCUAGUUUAUAUUUAUUUAUUAUAUAGUUGUAUAUGUGGUGUGUCUAUGAACACAUGGAAAGCCCUCUCUACUUUAUGCAAGAGAUAAAAAGCUUCGUAACGGUAUCUUAAUGGAUUCAAUAUUUGUAUAGAAUUAUAAUAUUUUACUAAUUCAAUAGUAAAAUUUUGAAGCUAUACUAGGUUACGUAUUAUAUCUAAUUCUUGGAGAUUAUUGUAAUAUGAAGGCGCAUGGUUUCUACUUUUUGGACCAAAGAGAAAAGACAUGUGGGAUCAAAGUGGAAUCUCUUAUCCGUUUUCGAGAAGAAGUUUACUAGAUUAAUUCAUGUCAAUUGAAAUUUGGUAUAGGACAAGAAUAAAAUGACUAUUACUAUUUUUACCCUAUAAGUUUUUCACAAGUUCUACUUUUUAUCUAACAUUUGUAUGGAUUAUAUAAUCGAAAACUUUUUAUAGUGAUUUUUUGGAUUUUACAAUCUGGAACCUUGUAUUUGUUAGUUUGUUUGGUUAAGAUCACAUAGUAAUCAAGUUAGUUUUGUUUGUUAUGAAAUUAGUUACAUUUUUGCUAGAUUUUAGCAUUAUGUUGUUAGGGUUUGAGAGAUGACUUGUUUCUCAAGCAACUCAACAACACCUUGUAUAAAAGCAAUUGUAUUGUAUGAUUCACAUCUAAAUGAAAUCACAUACUUCAUAAUUCUAAUCUCCUCAUUCUCUAUUUCUUCUUAUUCGCUCAAUUCCAAUAAAAUCAAAACCCUAGCUUGAAGAACAAGCUUUGAAGCUGCGCUAACAGUAUUGCCUAGAUUUUUAGAACAACAUUGACAUAUAAUGUUAAAAAGACAUAAUUGAAAAUGAUCAAAAAUAAAAUUAGUUUAAAGAGACAAAAAUGAAUCAAAUUUUCAUUUUAUUGAUGGAUCAUAUAUUUCGUAUUACAUUACAUUAACGUUGAAGCUUAUUUCACAAAAUUAUUACACAUCUUUUACAAAUUAUUUUUUAUUAAACACCUAAUGCUAAAUUUGUGAGGGAAGGAGACUCGGGUAAGGUUUCUUUUCUCUCUAGGAAGAAUGAGACGUUGAUGGUCAACCUUACGCCCAAACAGAUUAACCUUACCUCCGCACAGAUGGUGCAAAUUUACAAAGUGACACAUUGCCCUUUAACCAUUCAAACAGCCCUUAAAAUAUUAGAGUAGUCUUUUUUUUUUUUUUUUUUAUCAAAGGCCAAUGGUGGAGAAGCACAUAUUGCAUGAUUUUUCGGUAGUCCAUAUUGCAUCGACGGUUUCUGUGGUUCACAAUGCACAAAAACUUGUAUAAAUAGAUGUGUUUGGCUCAUUUAAUGUAAAAAAAAAAAACACAAAGUUAUGAAAAAUUAUCUAGUAGAUCUAAACACCGAGAGGUUGUCAUGAACUUAAUCUUACUGCCCUACCAAUAGACCUAUGUCAGUUCACAUGACAGCAUGAUCAAGCUCAAAAAAAUAUCUUGAAACACCUUAUAUGGCACCUUAUAUGAGUGAUGAACUUAUAUCAUCGCUCAUCUUAUUAUGUUAUUUUACAUCAUCACUCAUCUUAUUACGUUGUUUACGCUGUUGAAUUGUGUCAUUUAAUUUUUUUUUGCUAUGAACAUAUAUGUAAAACUCUUAAAACCUCAAGUUUUAAAACAGUUUGGGAUAAAUAUUUAUAUUAUAUAAUCCGAACUAUCUUUGAAGAUUUCAAAUUAUAUAAUCUGAAGCAUCUCGGAUUGUGGAUGGUGGCGUUACAACCUAUGGUUUGGACGGUUUGUUAUGCGUUUAAUUUUAUUUUUAGUCGGUUUACAUUUUGUAAACGUUUCCUUUGAUUGUACCUCGACUCUGCAUAUUACAGUGAAUUAUCCGUACCAAUUGUAAUAUGCAGAACCGCGGUUUGAAUCUCAGACGCCUCACUUAUUCAUCUUUAUAGAGGUUAAUUUCUAACGAUAAAAUGUUUGAAAUUAAUGGGAAUGACAUAAUCCCUCAACAUAUGCUUAAAGUUUAAACAACUCAAUAAUUAAAAAAUAAUUAAAAAUUUCUUUUUUUUUUUUUUUUUUGUACCUUAAACAACUAUAUCUACCUUAAAUGGAAUAAUGAAAGAAACAAUUCUUCUGGGACAAAUUAUUAUUGCAAAUGUUACACCGAAAACGGUUAUAUGUUUCAUUAUGCGAUAUGAUAUGCCUAAGGGUCAUAAUACAGCUCAUAUACAUAUACAAGGACUCCUAGAGUACAACCAAUGUAUAAUUAUGUAUGACUAUUGACUAUACCAUAGUCAUACAAAAAUUCAGCUAUAUGGCAGUCAUAAUAUUUGAGUGAUAUAGCAAUGUUUGACUGCCAAAUUAUUUCAGUUCAAAAUUGUAUCUACAAAAGAAUAUCAGAGUGAUUCUUUCACUGAUUAGUCAGAAAAUAAUACUCGUACACUGAUUUUUACCCUAAAAAAUAAUAGUACAUUGAUUUUAUAGUAUGAGCAAAAAGUAAGCCAUGUAGCUUUAGAUCAGGUUCCCCGCCGUAGAAAAAUCCUACACUUACAUGCAGUUUUAGAUCUCAGCCAUCGAUUUCAUAUGUCGGUUUUUAUUACAUCUUCAUAAAACAAGUACUAAACAAUCUCUACCAUUGAUUUAAUAUCCGACAGCUAAUAUUCAUUAUAGCGACAAGAUGUAACUGUGUGUGACCCGCAUUUGAUUUUUAGGCCAAAUGAGUUAGCGUUAGACAUGACUUAUUUUGAGUUUGGGAGACAAUUGUUGAUUUUGAACGACAUAAAUAAUUGGUGUUAUGUAUUCUUCAACGAUACAUAUUCGUGCUACAUAAUUGGUCAUUUUAGACAUUCGAUCAAACAACUCAUGUUUGAAGAUUCAGCGAGUAAAAUAAACUUCAAAAUUUAAUCUUAGAACGGGUGUCAUCUAAUCGUUAUGAGGUAAAUGUAGAUUUCUAACCGGUGAUACAUAUAUUAAUAAUAAGGGUAAAUUACACUGACCUCCCCUGAAAUUUCUUUAAAUGACACAGACACCUCCUCUAGUUUCUUAAUUAGUACUAACCUCCCUUGAUAUUAAACAUUGUUUAACUUCUGUCAAAUUAUAUUAAGGAAAAAAACAAAAAACAAAAAAGCACUCAUGUUAAUGUUGUCUUUUCAUCUCCUCAAAGCCCAAAAUUUUCAUUCCUCCAUGGAAGCAACACAAAUGAAGCUCAUGUAUGUCUCUUUGAUUCUUGUCCAUUCCAUUCUCGUACAUCAUGCUUUUGUGGAUAUAUAUUUCUCUGUUCGUUUUGCUGGCAUCAAAAUCCAGGAUCAAAAAAAUGUCAGUUUCAUGGCACAAUUUAUUUGAAUAUUAAGUUCGUCCCAAACCCAUUUGCCUUUGGAAUAAUCACAAGAUUCAAUUGGUUGAAAUUUUUGUGAAUUGUUUGGAGGAAUAUGUGACAAGAAAUCAAAGCCAAAAAAACCUUUCCAUUGAAGGUUACAAAAAAUGGCUAAUAGAACGAGGAAAAAAAGCUUAGAAUUAAAACGGUUUGCAGAUUUUUUUUUUUAGGUAAGAAUUGUUUGCAGAUAUUCUACGGUUUAGUAGAUGAAGAUUAUCAUAACUAGAAAUAGAAAAAGUAGUGACUUUAAUUUUAACGGAUAAUUAACGGUGUUAAGUUGUAAAGGGAGGUAUCUUUCUAAUUAUGAGACUUUGGAGGAGGUUAAUGUCUAUUAUAAAAUUAGAGGGAGUGUUUGUUUCAUUUAAGAAAACUACGAGGGAGGUUAGUGUAAUUUAUCCUAAUAAUAAUAACCAAUGGAAAUUAAACUUUUAUACUAUUAACACCGGAAAAUAGAAAAACAUACAUAUAUGAUAUAUACAAAAGACAGUUUUACAUAGCUCCAAAACCAUAGUGUGAAUUAAACACUAUUCAUUACAAAAAGAGCAACAUCAUAAGCACCACCAACACCUCUCCAUAUUGAAAAACCAUGAUCCAAUAGGGAGCAAAGAAAAAACCACAACAUCAUAGUAAAUCAAAUCACGUGCUAUCAAAACCAUCAUCACGUGAAUUUUUACUUGACAAAGUAGUAAAAUGUAAAAGGUGUUUUUACAUAUGUCAAAAAAAGAGAGAAAUCCUUGACUAAUUAAAUAGAUGGAAAAAAAAUUAGUCCAGUUAAAUCUCACUGGUUGAAUUGAAUCUUAAUAUCAAUUCAAAUCAACUGUCCAAUUUUAACUGGGACUAAUAAUAUUCUAUCUAUUGCGGGAGUUGUUGUAAGGUGACUGAAUCGCGGCUAAUUUUUGCUGCAAGUUGAGAUUUUUAUAAAACCUUUUAAUAAAUUCUUCAGCUGCAACAUCAACAUGACUAUGAUCAUCACCUUCUUCAUCCUUUAGGGGAAAAGGUGAAUCAGUGACUCUAAUUUUUUUCCCAAUGGGACUCUUUCCAAAUCCAGGAAAUGCCACUAAAGGAGAAGGAGAAGAAAAAGUAGCAUCAACAUCAUUGAGGAUUUCUAGAACCUUUUGCAUGGUGGAAACAUCGUUGUGGUGGCAGCUAUGGCGGUGGUUUUUAUUUUUGUUGUGGAAUUUAAUGACGGCAGGGUUGUUGCUGCAGCUGAACUCGUAGUCGUGGGGUGAGACGAAGGAGGAAGACGAGUGGUGGCGGAGAGUGAGAGUGUUGGCUAUAGCUUUGAUGGCGGCGAGUUUGCUACGUUUUAGCAAGAGAUUAAAUUGUGCUACCAUUUUGCUUUUGGCUAUGUUUUUUGUAAACAUGAACAAAAUUAUACGUAGUGUGUUCCAUACUUUCUUUGUAACUACCAUUGCUUGGUUUGUUUCAAUUUCCAUUGUUGUAACGGUUUGAUGAGUUUGUGAGUGUUUUUUUUUUGUUUUGUAGAGACUUGAGAGAAAGAAUGAGAAUAGGUGAACGUAUGUGAUUGGAUUGUGAUAUGGUUUGUGUUUGUGAUAGGAGAGUUGGAGUUAGGUGGUAUAUAAAGGGGUUCCAAUUACAAAUUAUAAUUAUCCACUAAGAAAUUAGAUUAUGAUAAAAUUAUAAUUAAUCGUUUCUAAAAAGAUAACAACACUACCAGUACAAAAAACAAUUCAAAAGAUAACAACACUAACUUAAAAGUUCAACUUUUCCAAUGUAUGAGCAUUGACUGCCAUAACCAUACUUACAAAUUCAGUUAUAUCACUGUUUUUUACCUUGUCAGUAAAAUAGUACACUUACUUUUUCUUCAUGAGCAAAAAAACAAAAGUUAUUUACAUAAGAAAUGUAUGGUGCUAAUGAAUUGUGUUUCUAAUGUGUCCUUUUCAGUUUUGUGAAGUUUUUGUAUAUUCUCAAUUGUUUUUUGCACAUCUUUUUUAGAGCUAACCAGUCACACAUGCUAUCAGUAGCCAAGGUAUUCCCCAACUAUAACAAUAUUCUUCUAGUCAACUUGUGAACUUCGACAAAGCAAAGAUCUCUUUUAGAAGAAAUAUUUAUAAUGAGCAAAAAUUGACUUCCAAUGAUGGAUCUAUUUUAAUAUUGUGGAGAUAUAAUCAAAAUACUUGGGACUCAUUCUCAUGACAUUUAAUUUGCUCGUAACAAGUCUUGUUUUGAUAGAAAAUAAUUUCUCGUCGAGAAUUUUUUUUGCUGCGCUUGGGCUGCUACUUGAUGACUAUGAUUUAAUGUUGAACAUAUAGAUAAUAAAACAAUUUUAAGUUUUUCAACUCCCUUAUUUCUUGAAACCCUCGUCGUUCACCAUGUUAGAAAGUUAUUGAUGAUGAUGAUGAUGAUGAUCGCCCGAUCAACGAUAUAUGGGGCAUUGUGUUUAGUAACGACGAUAUGUAUACGCCCAGGUGGGUUAGGAUCCACCCCAAAAAAAAAUCUAUCCGGGUAAUCAUCAAAAUACUUUUGACUUUAAAAAAAAUCAGGCUAGACCAUCUUUCCCAACUUUGUAUUUAAUGUUAUUACAACAUAAAUUUUACGUUUAUAUAUCAAAAUAAUUUUAGUGGCCCACCCGUAUAUUAUUUUCUUUUAAAUUUCUGGCUUCGUCACUGGUGUUGUGAUUAGAGAUCAAUUAAUAUAUUGAAGCUCUUCUAAAUUUUACUAUACACAAAAUCUGAUUUAAGGCUAACGAUUAAGUUUGCUUUAGACAUAUACAGAUGAUAUUUGAAGGUGAUUUGUUUACUCUUUGAAGGGGAUUUUGGGUACAUGCUAGAUACUAUAAAUUACUACAUUGUAGUAAAUCCAAACAAUCAAUUCUUUUUUAUUAAGUUAUUAUUAUUUCGAGCUCCCUAUGAGUAGACAUUCAUUGUACUGAAUUUAGCGCAUUUUGUUGAUGAAAUACAAACAAAAACUUGUGUGCAUUUUGUUAGCAGCUUUAUAUUAAAAGAAUACGUAAAGAAAAGUGGCAAUUUAACAGAAGAAAAAGGAAAAAGCAAACACACAAGCUAGUGGAUAAAAUUACUCUAAUAAAAAGUUGGUGAAGAAUUGAGAUAUGGUUGUACUCUAUAAUUGACGGCAAUCACUAUAAGUGGCCUUUUCUUCCUCUCAAUGUUUUGAUUGAUUCAUUUUAAACUUGUUGAUACUUGUUGCACGUAACCAACGUGUAACGUACAUAUACAAUUACUUAACAAACUCAUCACUUUGAACUAUAAGUUUUGCUUUUAGCCAUUGUUGAUAUUUUUAACCUUUUUAAUUCUUGGAGUUAUUUUGAUAUAAACUUACCAUCUUUCAACACAUGGCAUACAAAUUAUAUGGACUUCAAUCAUUAUUGACACAAGACACGUAGUGGCAUCAAUAUCAUUUUUUGCACACCAAUCACUUUUGUGUUGACAUUGAUAUCCAAACUUGUCUCACUCUUAACAAUUUAUAUAAAUAUAUCGAUUUUGUUUUAAUUUUCUUUAUUGUUUUUAAUAACUCCAAUUUUUAUUUUUUUUUAAUAAUCCAACUUAUGUUUUAUGCUUUAUUUGCGAGUUUGGAGGGGAAAGAAGGAAAAAAAAAAAGGAAGGAGUUAGUGGAAGAAAUAGAGGACAUUGGAAGGAGCUCUUUGUGGGCUUAUUUUUCUUCAAAAUAUAAAACUCUCCUCAUUUUAGGGAACUAAACAAGUUGAAUUGGACUAGGGUUUUUGGGGGUUUGAGAGAGUUUAUAUGAAUUCUUUAAAUUUAAUUGUGUUGUUAUAAUAUUCUUAAAAUUAAAAAUAUAUUAAUCAUAAGCAUUAAUUUAUCACUCUCUAAAAUACUCUUUCAAAAAAUGUGACAGAUUUCUCAUCAAUUUUUCUCUAUAUUUCUUUCCCCUAAAGUCUUUCCUUCCUCUCCCCUCCAAACACCCAAACAAAGCCUUAAGGAAUUAUUUUUUUAAUGACCCCACAUUUUUCUUAGACAAAUAUAAUCCCUAUUCUCUUUUUACCAAUACAUACAACAUAUAACAUUGCUUAUUGAAAAAAAAUUAUUGAAGGAAACGAGAUAAAGUCUUAAUUAAUGAAAAAGUACUAACUAAUUUUAAUUUAUAGUUUACUAGAUAUGUUGAUAAACUGGGCAUUCUCGGCCAAACAAUAGUUUCUUGGUCACGAACAGCUAAAGCAACAGUUUCAUUGAAGAGCGUUUACACGUGGUAGAAUCUCCUGAUCAGGGAGUAUAAAACUUUUAUUAGGUUGAUCUUGAGUCGCCAUCCAUGCACGCAUACCUUCAUUUAGAAGAAUAUUUUUCGUGUAGAAAGUCUCAAAUUUAGAAUCCUCCGUUGCGCAAAUUUCUUAAGAAACGAAGUCAUAGACGUGUAGGUUCAGGGCCAUAUCGACUACUCCAUGAGCACUCAUCCAUAAACCAGUUACUUACUGGUACAAAUAACAUAGAGAAAUGCAACUAACGUUUAUUGGAAAAAGCAACCAUAAAGAUUUCUGGCCAAAACGGUUAACGAUGACUAUUGAAUAGUUUUUCUACUUGAGUUAGGUUAAGAGCAUGGAAUGUAUUUAUGUCAUCACCAUCUUCAAAUAAUGUAUUUUCUAUGGUAGCACCGUCGAUAACGAAUGAUAACGGGUAAAAGUAGUUAACCUAUGAUUUUUUUUUUUUUUUACACAAAAGUUAGCCUAUGAUUGUUAAAACAUGUUUUUAUAUAAUCCUGUGCAAAAGGAAAAUGACUACUCAAUGAUAUAGACCACAUUGGAUUAAACAAGUAUAGUUGUAUAUUUUGGGGAAUAAAUAUGAAGACAUAGGGGACCGUUAUUUAGUGUGACAUAGUGGAUUGGUUUGUCGAUUUCUUAUAUAAAAAAGAAAUAUAGAAAGCAGUGGAAGUGGCAGUAGUGGACUUUAUAAACUUUAAUGUUCAUUAUAUAUAAUUGUAUAUGUGGCUUAUACACGUAUCCGUGCUUGUCAAUGAACACAUGGAAAGCCCUCUCUACUUUAUGCAAGAGAGAAAAGCUUUGAACGAUAUCUAAAUGGAUUUUAGAUUUGUAUAGAAUUAAUAUUUUUUUACUUAAUAGUAAUAUUUUGAAGCUAUACUAAGUUACGUAUUAUAUCAGAUUCUUGGAGCUUAUUUUAAUAGGAAGGAGCAUGGUUUCUCCUUUUUGGACCAAAGAGAAAAGACGUGUGGGAUAUAGCUAGGCCAGAUACAAAGUGGAAUCUCUUAUCCUUUCCUGAGAAGAAGUUUCCUAGAUUAAUUCAUGUUAAUUUCAAUUUGGUAUACACGAAAUUUAGGACAAAAAUAAAAUGACUAAAUUAUUUUUUCUACCUUGUGAGCAUUUGUGAGUUUCUUACGUGUCCUUUUUUUUUUUUAAAUAUCAUUUAUUCUGAUUAUACAAUCUAAAAUUUUGUAUUGUCCAAAUUUUUAGAACAACAUUGACAUGUAAUAUUAAAAGGAUAUAAUUGAAAAUUUGUUUAAAGAGACAAAAAAAAAUUAUUACAUUAACAUCGAAGCUUAUUUCACAAAAUUAUUAAACAACUAAUGCUAAAUUAUUGAACACAUAAUGUUAAAUCUGUGGUACAAAAGGAUAGACGGGGAAUGAUAAAUAUUUGGCAAGUGUACCAAAAAAACUAUCGAAGUAGUACUAAAGUUCAUAUCCACGAGGACCGUUGUUAAUUUCUACUUAACAAGUUAGUUAAAAUAAAGGAUGUAUGAAAUUUAUGGGUUGCCCUAGGACAGUUGGAUUUGGUUUUAUAAAACUUAAACAAAGUAAAUAAAAUGGGUUGAUAAUUGGAUUAAAACAGAUGAUCAAGCCUUUCGAAUUCUUUAUUGCUCACUGUGAGUAAUUUGGCUCUCUUCUCUCUCAAAGAAAUUAAUCUAGCUUUACGACGGAUUAACUAAGUGGUUUUGAUCAAUCUCUUAACUCAAAACCCUUUCGUAAGUUAUAACAUUUUAAUCUCUUAAACCGAUUGAAUAACUGCGGAAGCAUGGUGAGAACGUUAAUCCAUAUGUCAUAACCUUCAAUUUUCUAUAUCUAGGUUCCUAGGUUGAAUUAACAUAAUUACUAUUUCAGGAUUAAAAGCUAGGGUUAGUAGUCAUUCAAUUCCUAAGAUAAAUUUAUGUGAUUGAAAGAAGUUAGGGUUAAUAGUCAUGCAAACAAUCAUACGAAAAGCAAUGAACACAAAUAAUUCUAAAUAAAGACUAGGUUUUCAUUGAUGUCAAAGAGAGUUCUUAACAAAUUACAUACUUACAUAUUACAAAGAUUCAUCUCAUGGCUUAAUCAAUCUAAGAGUUUAGCUACUCAUAACUAAACAAUCAAAUACAUAGAAAUAAUAUAACAUACAUAAAUCAGAACCAACUAUUAGUUGGGUGAGAUCCAUUACGUGUUCUUCAACUUCCUGGUGUUGUCUAUGCUCUGUUUAGGUCUCUAAAAUCGCAUACUAAGCUUCUGGUUGCAUCUGACUUUUAUAGACAAAGAAUUAGAGUUUCAGAAAAGCCCACCAUCGUGCCACGUUUCGAGACCAUCGUGGCACGAUUUGCUCAUUAAUCCUACGUGGCAGCAAAUUUACUCAACCAUCAUGGCACAUUACACAUCCAUCGUGCGAUGAUUUUUCUAGUAUUUUCAGGUAAAUUCCACGCUUCAAACGUGCCAUGAUUCAGGUCCAUUGUGGCACGAUUUAGGUCCAUCUUCAGGUAAAUUCUUGCAUUCUUCUCCAAUUUGUGCAAAACUUCUCUUAUGUGAAUCUUGAGCUGAUUUAUCCAUGUAUUCAAACAUUUGACUCUCAAAACAUUACAAAAAGGACACAAAUAUGACUAAAAAACUAGUGUUGACGUACUGUCAUCAGAGAAGAAAGCUCGAGUAAGGUUUGUUUCCUCUCUAGAGAGAAUGAAACUUUGAUGGUCAACUCCACACCUAGACAAAUCAACCUUCACUUCAGACAAAUGGUUCAAAUUUACAAACUGACAUGCCCUUAAACCAUUCAUACAUUUCUUAAAAUAUUAUAGUAACCUUUUUUUUUGCAUCAAAGGUCAAUGAUGGAAGCACAAUGUAGAAGAAAAGAGAAGGAGGAAAUGUGAGAUGAAAUGAGAAUUUGUAAAAGAUUGGUGGGUAUUUAUAAGAUGAAUUUUUGAAUAAUUAGUACAUAGAGUGUAACAUCCUUCAAUGCAUGGUCAAAAAACAUUUUAAAGUCUUGUUGAUCAGUUAAUUCUUGUUGUCGAACCCAAAAAACAUGUUAAAUGAGUCGUGCUUGAUGAUCAAGCCAUUGUAUAGUUUAUGUGGUGGUUCAGAUCAUAUAAUUCAGAAUAUACCUAUAAUUGUUCGGAUUAUAUAAUCGAAACUGAUCCUAGACUAUGUUAAAAUUCAUACUUUUUUGGGUGAUGUAAAUUUCAUAUUAUAUAAUCUGAACCAGUCAAGUACAUAAUUUUUCUGUGGUCCACAACCUACUCAACUGGAAGCAUCUAGUUCAUCCAAAUGAAGCUCAGGGAUGACGAUGAUGUGAAAACCAUGUUAUUGAUAUUUGGUCAGAAUAGUACUAAAGGACCAAUUGAGUUGAACACUGAAUUGGUCAAAGAUUUUGACGAUAUUUGAAUAAGUUUGACCGGACUCAAGAAAUUAGGACUCGUGUAGAUAUACCAGAUGAAGAAAUAAGUUUGGCUGAUCUAUGACCUUUUAUGUUUGCACUUCAUUAUGUUGUUUUAUGUUAGUGUAUUAUGUAACACUCUAAUUUUUAUUUAAUUAUUUUUAAUUGUGUGGUGUUAUUUAUUUGGUUUUGGUGAGUUAUGUGGUGUGUAUAUAUAUAUAUAUAUAUUAUAUGAUUAUUUUAUUAAAUAAUAAGAAUAAGUGGAAAAUAUGAUUAAUUAGAAUUUGGGGGUUAUGAAAUAAUUAGUAUAGUUAGUGGGAGUUAAUUGCUAAUUAGGGGAGUUACACUUUGGGAGUUAAGGAAAGAAAAACAGAGAAAAACGUUUUACGUGAAAACAGUCAAGUUUUGGGGAGAAAAGCUAGUGCAAGGGAGAGGAGCUUAGGAACCAUUUUCUGCUGUGUUUAUUCUGCAAUUCUAAGGUAAGGGUGAGGUUUACCGCAAUUCUAUAGGUUCUGAAUUCUGAUUUUGUUCUAACAGGUUUAUGUGAGAAUUGGGAGAAGUUAGGUUUUGGUUGAUUAAGGGGUUUUGGGUGUAGGAAUCGUGGAAUUGAGGUUAGAAGUGGGUUCUGGGUGCAUAAAACCUUUCAUUGCAUAUCUGUAAACUAAUUUGGGGAGUGAAUUGAGGAAAAAUGGAAUUUUUGGGAAAAACCUGCAUUCUGCCCGUACAGAAGUUCAUCGCUCGCCUCGCGAGUGAUACAACUCGCCAUGGCGAGUAGCCUUGUGAAAAUCUGGAUUUUUAAAAUGUUGUUAUAAGCCGUAUUUUGGGUAGUUUCAUGUGCCUAGAUGAUUUCUAAGAGGACUGGAGCAAGUUUUAGGUUUAAAAGAUGAUUAGGGAGCUUAGAAUUGAGGUUUGAGUGAGAAAAAUAGCAUUUUUCCCGAGAGCACCAUAUUUCUGUUCGCCUCGAGUUCGCCUCCAACUCGCCAUGGCGAGUACUUGAUUUUCUGAGCUCGCCAUAGCGAGCAGAUGUGCUCGCGAGGCGAGCUGCCCAGUAUUUUGUUGGUUGAUUUCUGUUGUUGUUUGGAUGGUUUAUUUGGUUGAAUUAUUGCAUGGCUUGUAUGCUGAUAUAUACUUCCCUGGAUGCUUUGGUUGGUUGUGAUGAAUGGAUGCUGACUGAAUGUACGUUGUACUUAAUUAAAAUUCCCUUAAAGUUGUAAAUUGGAUGGUGAAUCAUAUAUUAUGUAUAUGUAUAGGUUGGUUGGUAUGUAGAUAUACUCAAGGGGAUUAGUUGCAUAAACAUAACAGUGGGAGAGCUUUGGCUCUGGAAUGCUUAGUCGUUCAAAGUGGUGGAGUACUAGUUACUCAAAGUGGUGUAGUGGUGAGGACUUAUGUCCUGAUGAGAAUGCUUUAACCAUUCGACAGCGGUGUGGGUCACGGCCCUGAUUUUUGGUACCACAUGCAUGGGUGUUUAGAGGAGUCUUAGUGGAGUGGUGAUAAGUUGCAUUUGUUGUUGAGAUGUUUAUGAAUUAAUAUUGUUGAUAAUAUGCGAAAUUGAUGUUAUGUAAAUAAUAAUGUGGAUGAAUUAUUUGAUAGGGUGUUAGAUUCAAUUGAUGAAUUCCUUACUUAUAUUUUGUUGUGAAUCUCACCCCUUCUGCUUGAAAAUGUUGCCCUUCCUAUGGGUAACUUGCAGGUGAUCCUGAGUAGUUGGUGGUGGCUCAAUGUGUCUAGGACUCUGAUGCGUGGGAUGGGAUUUAUAGUUUAAAUUUCUACCUAUGUAUCAAAUUUUGGAACAAGUUAACGUAGUCCAUGUUUAAUGUUGAAUUUUUAUGUUGAGGCCUAGUGCCAAGAUUAAUGUUGGAUAAUAGAGUUUAAUUUUGAAGAAUAUUCCGUUGCAGUUUAAUGAAGUUUUAUGAAGGAUGUUGUUAAAUAGUUUUAAUCUAUUUAAGAAUUUAUGUUUAGUAGUGUGACAUGCUGUUUGGUGUUGAACUCUGAUUUUAUAAUUAUAAUUAAAUUGAUUUUGGGAAACGGGGUGUUACAUAUUAUGUCGUUUUUAUUUUAAAGUAUUUAAAAUUGUUAUAUUUACUGUAUGUUGCUGAUAUUAAAUUACAUGUGUUAAAACUCGUGCUUUAUAGGGUGAAGGACACGAUUUUACAAACUGAACCUGUCAAGUACAUGAUUUUUCGAUUGCUCAUAUUGCAUCGACAGUUUAUGUAGCUCACGAUGCCCAAAAACUCGUAUAAAUAGAUGUGUUCGGUUCAUUUGCUAUAAAAGACAACACAAAGUUAUGAAAAUUAUUUGGUAGAUCUGAGCACCAAAAGGUUGUCAUGAACUUAUUCUUACUACCCUGUCAAUAGACACAUGUGAGUUGGCAUGACAACAGGAUCAAACUCAAAAAAGAUCUUGAAUCACCUUUCCUUUCGCUUUCGUCAUCGAUCAUAUAUAUGAUAUUAUGUUCUUUUAUAUCAUCACUCACCUUAUUAUGUUUUUUCUACAUCAUCGCUCAACUUAUUAUGUUGUUUUACGCUGUUAAAUUAUGUUGUUUUAUUUUAUUUUUUUGCGAAUGUACACAUAUUUUGGAAAAGAUAAAUGAUAUUUAUAUAUUUAUUUUUUGACAACUUUUGAAACUACCCUCUCUCUCAUACUCACAUGUGUUUUUAUUUUCUUUCUUCUUCUUUCUCUCUCUAUUGUUUUAGUCCAAUAAAAAGAGGAAAAAAAACAAUUGUGAGAAGAGUUGUAAAAAAUUAAUUGUACAAAUAUCACUUCUCUUUAAAAAAUGAUUAUAUGUUUCAUUCUUUGGAUAUGAUAGUCCUAACUAAGGGUCAUAGUACAUCUCAUAUACAAGGACUCUGUCUCUAGAGUACAACGAUGUAUAAUUAUGUAUGACUAUUGACUACCAUGGUCAUACAAAAGUUCAGUUACAUGGCAGUCAAAAUAUGUGAGUGAUAUAGCAAUGUUUGACUUCCAAAUUAUUUCAAUUGAAAAUUGUAUCUACAAAAGAAUAUCUCAGUGAUUCUUUCACUGAUUAGUCGGAAAAUAAUAGUACACCGAUUUUCGCCCUAAAAAAUAAUAGUACAUUGAUUUUAGGGUUAAAUAUGUUUUUGGUCCCUAUAAAUAUACCAAUUUUUCCUUUUAGUCCCUCUAAAAUUUUCCUUCAACUUUUAGUCCCUAUAAAAUUUCAAUCACUACUUUUGGUCCCUAUUUUAAAGUUAAUUUUAGUAUUUUUGAAUGAAAUUGUGCAGAAAUGUGUAGAAUAUUGUAAAAAUAUUUCCCAAAAAAAAAUUAGAAUUUUUUUAACUAAACAUAAAUUUAAUAUGAACUUUUAACCAUAAAAAAUAUAAAAAUUCAUAUUAAAUUCAUGUUCUUUUAAAAAAUUCGAAAUUUUUUUGGGAGAGAUUCUUAUAAUAUUAUGAAUUUUUCUGCAAAAUUUUAUUCAAAAAUACGAAUUCUACAUAUGAUUUUAUUUUAAAGGAGGGACCAAAAGUGAAGAUUGAAAAUUUUUAAGGGACUAAAAGUUGAAGGAAAAUUUUAGAGGGACUAAAACGAAAAGUUGGUAUAUUUAUAGAGACCAAAAUCAUAUUUAACCCUUGAUUUUAUAGUAUGACAAAACGUAAGCCGUCUCCCUAUGUAGAAAAUAACUAAGGUUACAUGUAGUUUUAGAUCUCAACAUCGGUUUCAGAUUCCAGUUCUUAUUACAUUUUCAUAAAAUAAGUAUUAAACAAUCUCGACACUGAUUUAAAAUCGACUAAUAUUCAUUACAGCGAUAAGAUGUAACUGCGUGGAUCGCAUUCAAUUUUUAGGCCAAAUAAGUUUGCGUUAGACACGACUUAUUGAGUUCUAUGGAAGAUUUUUGAUUUUGAACGGCAGAAAUAAUUGGCGUUAUGUAUCCUUCAACGAUGCAUAUACAUGCUACAUUAAUGGUCGUUUUAGACAUUCAAUCAGACAACUCAUGUUUCGAGAUUCAGCGAGUGAAAUUAACUUUAAAAUUUCAUCUUAGUACAGGUGUUGUUUAAUCGUUAUGAGAUAAAUGUAGAUUUUUAGACUGUGAUACAUAUAUUAAUAAUAGUAUCCAAUGAAAAACAUACAUAUAUGAUACAUGUAUCUAUACCAAAUAGAUAUAUGAUAUAUACAAGAGACAGUUUUUCAUAGCUCCAAAACCAUAGUGUGAAUUUAACACUAUUCAAAUACAAAAAGACCAACAUCAUAAGCACCACCAACACCUCUCCAUCUUGAAAAACCAUGAUCCAAGAGAGAGCAAGGAAAAAACCACAACAUCAUAGUAAAUCAAAUAAAGUGCUAUCAAAACCAUCAUCCCGUGACUUUUUACUUGACAAAGUAGUAAAAUGUAAAUGGUGCUUAUACAUAUGACAAAAAGGCUGUAACCCGUGACUAAUUAAAUAGAUGGAAAAAAAUGAGUCCAGUUAAAUCUCAGUAGUUGAAUUGAAUAUCAAUUCAAAUCAACCGUGCAUAUUUAACUGGACUAAUGAUAUUCUAUCUAUUGUGGGAGUUGUUGUAAGGUGACUGAAUCGCAACUAAUUUUUGUUGCAAUUUGAGAUUUUUAUAAAACCUUUUAAUAAAUUCUUCAGCUGCAACAUCAACAUGACUAUGAUCAUCCCCUUCUUCUUCCUUGAGAGGAAAUGGAGAAUCAGUGACUCUAAUUUUUUUCCCAAUGGGACUUUUUCCAAAACCAGGAAAUGCCACUAAAGGAGAAGGAGAAGAAAAAGAAGAAACAUCAAUAUCAUUGAGGAUUUCUAGAACCUUUUGAAUGGUUGAAACAUCGUUGUGGUGGCGGCCGCGGUGAUAGUUAUUAUUUUUGCUGUGGAAUUUAAUGGCAGUGGGGCUGUUGCUGCAGCUGAACUCGUAGUCGUGGGGAGAGACGAAGGAGGCAGUCGAGUGGUGGCGGAGAGCUAGAGUGUUGGCUAUGGCUUUGAUGGCGGCGAGUUUGCUACGUUUUAACAAGAGAUUUAAUUGUG
RNAcentral lists this long non-coding RNA (21991 nucleotides) under Medicago truncatula (barrel medic). RNAcentral describes it as "long non-coding RNA (MTRU_LNC004557)". The record is from RNAcentral. Lineage: Eukaryota; Viridiplantae; Streptophyta; Magnoliopsida; Fabales; Fabaceae.